AUUGAACGCUGGCGGCAGGCCUAACACAUGCAAGUCGAGCGGAUGAAGGGAGCUCGCUCCUGGAUUCAGUGGCGGACGGGUGAGUAAUGCCUAGGAAUCUGCCUGGUAGUGGGGGAUAACGUCCCGAAACGGGCGCUAAUAUCGCAUACGUCCUGAGGGAGAAAGUGGGGGAUCUUCGGACCUCACGCUACCAGAUGAGCCUAGGUCGGAUUAGCUAGUUGGUGGGGUAAAGGCCUACCAAGGCGACGAUCCGUAACUGGUCUGAGAGGAUGAUCAGUCACACUGGAACUGAGACACGGUCCAGACUCCUACGGGAGGCAGCAGUGGGGAAUAUUGGACAAUGGGCGAAAGCCUGAUCCAGCAAUGCCGCGUGUGUGAAGAAGGUCUUCGGAUUGUAAAGCACUUUAAGUAGGGAGGAAGGGCAGUAAGUUAAUACGUUGCUGUUUUGACGUUACCAACAGAAUAAGCACCGGCUAACUUCGUG
Molecule: ribosomal RNA, 484 nt
Filed under: uncultured bacterium
Lineage: Bacteria
Description: partial 16S ribosomal RNA
Rfam family: Bacterial small subunit ribosomal RNA
Source: RNAcentral